AGAGUUUGAUCCUGGCUCAGGAUGAACGCUAGCUACAGGCUUAACACAUGCAAGUCGAGGGGCAGCAUGGACUCAGCUUUGCUGAGUUUGAUGGCGACCGGCGCACGGGUGAGUAACGCGUAUCCAACCUGCCCUUUACUCCGGGAUAGUCUCCUGAAAGGGAGUUUAAUACCGGAUGUGUUUGUUUUUCCGCAUGGGAGCGACAAAUAAAGAUUAAUUGGUAAAGGAUGGGGAUGCGUCCCAUUAGCUUGUUGGCGGGGUAACGGCCCACCAAGGCGACGAUGGGUAGGGGUUCUGAGAGGAAGGUCCCCCACAUUGGAACUGAGACACGGUCCAAACUCCUACGGGAGGCAGCAGUGAGGAAUAUUGGUCAAUGGGCGAGAGCCUGAACCAGCCAAGUAGCGUGAAGGACGACGGCCCUACGGGUUGUAAACUUCUUUUAUAAGGGAAUAAAGUUCGCCACGUGUGGUGUUUUGUAUGUACCUUAUGAAUAAGCAUCGGCUAAUUCCGUGCCAGCAGCCGCGGUAAUACGGAAGAUGCGAGCGUUAUCCGGAUUUAUUGGGUUUAAAGGGAGCGUAGGCGGGCUUUUAAGUCAGCGGUCAAAUGCCACGGCUCAACCGUGGCCAGCCGUUGAAACUGUAAGCCUUGAGUCUGCACAGGGCACAUGGAAUUCGUGGUGUAGCGGUGAAAUGCUUAGAUAUCACGAAGAACUCCGAUCGCGAAGGCAUUGUGCCGGGGCAGCACUGACGCUGAGGCUCGAAAGUGCGGGUAUCAAACAGGAUUAGAUACCCUGGUAGUCCGCACGGUAAACGAUGAAUGCUCGCUAUGGGCGAUAUAUUGUCCGUGGCCAAGCGAAAGCGU
Molecule: ribosomal RNA, 861 nt
Filed under: human gut metagenome
Description: bacterial SSU rRNA
Rfam family: Bacterial small subunit ribosomal RNA
Source: RNAcentral